Molecule: long non-coding RNA, 1159 nt
Filed under: Oncorhynchus kisutch (coho salmon)
Lineage: Eukaryota; Metazoa; Chordata; Actinopteri; Salmoniformes; Salmonidae
Description: lncRNA (ENSOKIG00005020683.1)
Source: RNAcentral
CUCACUACCAUAUUUGAAAUUGAGUGGAAAUGCCAAGCGGAAGCUUCACAUUUAUUCAUCCGGUGAAAUAUCUGUAUAAUUGUUCUAUUUGUGCUAUAGGCUUCCGUUUUUUUUUUUUACAAACAUAUCCCCUCUGAUGUAGUUCAUCCUUUAUACUUUUAUAUGAACCCCACCUAGUGAAGAUCAAACUCCCGUCCAGUCUAACCCUCGAGGUGCGGAGCACAUGCCACUGUCAACAAACGGCUUUUCAACAGUUGUGCUACUACACACAUUUGGGACCAUAACAUAUUACAAAUAAAUGGGUUUAUGUCAAUGUGGGGAGUCCAACACUUCUCUCACCCUCACCAGACUGCUUAUUACGCAAACCCAAGGGCUUAUCUAGCAGCGAGAGUGUGCGUGUCUGAUCCUCUCACACUCUGCAGCCGGUGUCUGGCUGUUUAGGAUGGGGAAGGUUUCAAAUGCGGAAGUUUCCACCCAUAACGCUGCCACCCCGAAGAUGAGGCUUGCAAUGACAUCUGCGUUAGCAACGCGUUAGGAGAAGUUACCAUUCCGCAGGGAAACUGUUGCUAUACCUCCGCGGAACUGGAGUAAACUUCACAUGGCGUCUCUGGCCAGCGCAGAGCGACGUGCGUUCGCUCUGAAGAUCAACAGACACUCGUCUGCUGAGAUCAGGAGACACUUUGGUGGGAUGUAUGGCUCCCCUCAGGUCUCCAUGCAACACAGUCAUCGUGGCUCCAACGCAUCUGCCUCCAUGUGCUUCACCGUGGUGAGUUCCGCUACUACAGGACUACUACAACCAACUAUGCCCUUUCAUGGGUAGCAGCAAAUAGCGCCACGGUGUAAUAUUUAGCUACCCUGAUUCUGAGUGAGACUCUCAGACAGCAUUUUGUGCUGUAGGCCCAAUAAUGUAAUCCUAAAGAGGGAUUUUGUCCCACCAGACAUUGUGACCCCUCACUUAUUCUCUCUCGCUCGCUCUCUCUCGUACUAAGUGCACUAAUACCUCUCUAUAUUUGACAGGCUUAAGGCAUCAGUGUUUACUGUAAGUCUCUUCAUAUCAUGACUUGCCUAGUUAAAUAAAGGUUAAAUAAAAAAAAUAAAAACAUCUCUCUGAUAUGUCUCUGUCUGCUGCUAGGCAGCUGACUAGGCCAGAGGAGGGAGA